GUGAGGAAUAUUGGUCAAUGGGCGCAAGCCUGAACCAGCCAUGCCGCGUGCAGGAAGACGGUCCUAUGGAUUGUAAACUGCUUUUAUUUGGGAAUAAACUCCGGUACGUGUACCGGCCUGAAGGUACCAAAUGAAUACGCACCGGCUAACUCCGUGCCAGCAGCCGCGGUAAUACGGAGGGUGCAAGCGUUAUCCGGAAUCAUUGGGUUUAAAGGGUCCGCAGGCGGUCUUAUAAGUCAGUGGUGAAAGCCUACAGCUCAACUGUAGAACUGCCAUUGAUACUGUAGGACUUGAAUUCGAUCGAAGUGGGCGGAAUGUGACAUGUAGCGGUGAAAUGCUUAGAUAUGUCACAGAACACCGAUAGCGAAGGCAGCUCACUAGGUCUGGAUUGACGCUCAGGGACGAAAGCGUGGGGAGCAAACAGGAUUAGAAACCCGGGUAGUCC
RNAcentral lists this ribosomal RNA (445 nucleotides) under uncultured bacterium. RNAcentral describes it as "partial 16S ribosomal RNA". It matches the Rfam family "Bacterial small subunit ribosomal RNA", at positions 354 to 796 of the family's 1533-position model. The record is from RNAcentral.